Molecule: small RNA, 542 nt
Filed under: Pongo abelii (Sumatran orangutan)
Lineage: Eukaryota; Metazoa; Chordata; Mammalia; Primates; Hominidae
Description: retained intron
Source: RNAcentral
UGAUCGUUCUGAAUGAAGUGGAUACCAUGUGGAGCAAGAGUGAGGGUGCCGUCCCUACAGUAGCCUCCUCUGUUGUGAUAGCGAGUUCUCCUUGCCCCUUUCUGGAGGCCCCCUCUGACUCAGGGCAUUGCUUGCUUUGCCCAGCAGAUGGACCGAGCGGAGAAUAAGGGUGAGCUUCAGACAGACAAGAUGAUGAGGGCAGCUGCCAAGGAUGUGCACAGGCUCCGAGGCCAGAGCUGUAAGGAACCCCCAGAAGUUCAGUCUUUCAGGGAGAAGAUGGCAUUUUUCACCCGGCCUCGGAUGAAUAUCCCAGCUCUCUCUGCAGAUGACGUCUAAUCGCCAGAAAAGUAUUUCCUUUGUUCCACUGACCAGGCUGUGAACAUUGACUGUGGCUAAAGUUAUUUAUGUGGUGUUAUAUGAAGGUACUGAGUCACAAGUCCUCUAGUGCUCUUGUUGGUUUGAAGAUGAACCGAUUUUUUAGUUUGGGUCCUACUGUUGUUAUUAAAAACAGAACAAAAACAAAACACACACACACAAAAAAA